CGAGGUUGCGGCCGGCCUCGGACUCGGGGGUGGCGGCGGCGAGGGCGUGGGGAAGGGUGGGGUGUGGGGGCGAGGCGGCGACGAGGGCGGCGACACUCCCCUCCCCUCGGCUCGGCUCCACGGCGUGGGACGGCGCGAACGUGGUUUCGGAGGGAUGUCCGCCUUCUCUGAGGCGGCGCUGGAGAAGAAGCUGUCGGAGCUGAGCAACUCGCAGCAGAGCGUGCAGACCCUGUCCCUGUGGCUCAUCCACCACCGCAAACACUCGCGGCCCAUCGUCACGGUGUGGGAGCGGGAGCUCCGCAAAGCCAAACCCAACAGGAAGCUUACUUUUCUCUACCUGGCCAAUGAUGUCAUUCAGAACAGCAAAAGGAAAGGACCAGAGUUCACAAAAGACUUUGCACCAGUCAUAGUGGAGGCAUUCAAGCAUGUUUCAAGUGAAACUGAUGAAAGUUGUAAGAAGCACCUUGGCAGGGUAUUGUCUAUUUGGGAAGAGCGAUCUGUGUAUGAAAACGAUGUGUUAGAGCAACUUAAGCAUGCUCUGUAUGGAGAUAAGAAGACGAGGAAGCGGACUUAUGAACAAAUAAAAGUGGAUGAGAAUGAAAAUUGUUCCUCUUUAGGGUCCCCAAGUGAACCACCGCAGACUCUCGACCUUGUUAGAGCAUUACAAGAUUUAGAAAAUGCAGCCUCAGGUGAUGCAGCAGUCCAUCAAAGGAUAGCUUCUUUGCCUGUGGAAGUUCAAGAAGUGUCCCUGCUUGAGAAAAUAACAGAUAAAGAAUCUGGAGAGAGGCUUUCUAAAAUGGUAGAGGAUGCUUGUAUGUUGCUGGCAGACUAUAAUGGCAGACUGGCGGCAGAAAUAGAUGAUAGAAAGCAACUCACUCGAAUGUUAGCAGAUUUUCUUCGUUGUCAAAAGGAAGCCCUUGCAGAGAAAGAACAUAAAUUGGAAGAAUACAAGCGCAAACUAGCCAGAGUUUCCCUGGUGCGCAAAGAACUCAGAGCCCGGAUCCAGAGCCUGCCAGAUUUGUCUCGACUGCCCAAUGUCACUGGCAGUCACAUGCACCUGCCCUUUGCUGGGGACAUCUACGGUGAAGAUUGAUGGCCAGUCUCCUCCAAGGCCAGGACUUUGCCAGACAUGGAGACAGGUUAGGUGAAUAGUCCUGUAGAGUUAUUUUUGUACGGUGUUGAGAGAGUGGUCCUAAAGCAAGAAAUGACAAGGAAGUCUAAAAUGGUUUAAGUGUUGGUUUGUUUACUAUUUUACUAGUGAGUUAACAUGACUUAGUUAAAACCAAGUGAUUUCUGUGUAUUAAUGAGCUUAAAAUAGUGAUUAUUUUCAAAAGAUCUUUUUGUAAGUUUGGUUUUUUGAUCCAAGGUCUUGUGAGAAAUUCUGUUUCUGUUUCUUCAUGUAUUUUCAAUUGUUUUUCUUUAUUUUUUUUUCAGUAUCUAAUCACUGUACACUAUCUAAUUCCUAAUGAGAAGAACUGAUCAAGAGCUGAUAUGAGACUGUAUUAUGGUAUUGUUAGGACUUGAUUAUAGAAGAAACUAAAUGUUUCAACCUCACCUUUUCCCUUCUUACCACCCAAAUAGUGGUUCUGUGUGUCCUCAUACCUUUGAGUUUUUUAUUCCUUAGAGGUCAGUAACAACACUAGACAUGGAUGCCACAUGGAGGGUCAAAUUAAAGCCUAUAGAGCAUUUCCCCUAUAGAGUAAUUCCAUCCCACAUGCCAGUCCAGAACAAAAGGCCUGUUAAACAGACCCCUUGAUUACACUGUAGAACUAAGUGCAUUUCAUGAUUUUGAGAAUGUUCUAAGUGUUGACGUCCCACCAAGAGACCGAGAGCACAACUGACUUCUGUGAGGUCAGUCACCUUGUAUCAUUGAUCCUUUAACAAAACACCAGCCGUGGGGAAUAAACAAACAGUGACAUGCUUAUUCCCUCGUCCAUGUAAUGUAAAAUAGCACUUAGCUUGAGUAGCUCAAGAACUCAGUAUCCAUAUGUUCAUUUAAGUACCCUGGAACAUUUUAUUUCCUUAAGGUUUUUGAAUAACUGUAUAUUGGGAAUUAAGCAGUGCUAUACUACAGGGUAGAUCUGGUGAAUUUUAUACUUGUAUGUUUACAGAUGUAAAUACAAAGCAAAUGUACCUUUACUCCAUCCCGGUGUUAACAUUAGAGCAGGUGCAUGCUCUCCAGCUUUCUUUUAAGUUACAUUGUGAACUUGCAGGUUUGUAUUUGAUAAUGACAAGGGGGACGGUUUUUCUCCUUCAUUGCUUUGCAUUUCUCAUUGUAAUCAGAGUCAAACUAGUUAGUUAAUAGAACACCUUUUAAAUUCCACAGGCCAAUUAUAUCUUGCUACUCUGAAUGGCUACUCUGUUUCUUACUCAGUAUUAGUGACUAUAGUUGAAAUGAAUUUACAUGUGAAGGAAUGACAGAUAAUUUAUCUUUAAUAGCCAGUAGAUUGGGAAACAGUGCUUUUAACAAUCUGACCUCUCUCCAAAACAGUUACAUGUAUGGCAUCAUCCAUUCCCUGCAUGUCCUGUCUUCCAGUGCUUUAGACAACUUUUGGGAGUUAGGACACAUUUCCUCAGAGAAUGUAUAGCAGGUUCUCUGUGCACACCACUGAAGCUCAGCUGGGAGCCAAAUCCACUUGACCACGGAUGUACUUCACUUGUACGGUGGCUGAGGAGUGGCUUCAUGGCACAUCCUGAGUACCAUUUGUCUGCCACCGGCUUGUGUGCAUGCGGCAGCCAGAUGCUCACAGUGGGGUGUCUGCCAGUGCUGCUGUCUUUUCCCUAGGUGUAGGGAUCGAAGAAAAGAUGCGGCAGAGGGUGGACAGAUGCACAUUACACACCCUGGUUAUGCCUGGUUUGAAAGUAUGCCAAUGCAGAGAGCUGUCUGCAGUGGCAGUUUGAACAGAUUUCCGGGUGCCCCUCUGCUCCUGCAACACUACAGUAAGUAAAAGAACCACAGGGGGAGAUGGGAGCCUGGAAGUGAGCUGUGCUCUGCACCAGCCUUCCUGAGGAAGAGCACCCCUGCCCCUGUGUGACAGUGCUCCACAGCGUUGAGUCAGGGCUUCUCCAUAAGAAACCCCUUAGAAGGAACAAAAGCUAGAUGAGCUGGCCACCAUGGUUUUCAGAGUUCAGAGAAUGUUGUCUGCUGUCACUGUCUGAGCAGUGUCACCGGGUGUGGUUCAUGGACUGUCUGAGAAGUCUGGACCGGAGGACAGUGACUGGGAGGCCGGAGGCCUUCCUGAAUUCCCGCUCUGAUGGACAGGAUGUGAAGUCACAAAGCCCUGCUCUCCUGGCUGGUAGCAGGUACUCCUGAGAUGAGCCCGGCUUCCUGGUUGUGCUCUACAAAGAAGCUGUUGACGGUGAACUCAGCUCUCUGUAUAGUUCCUGUCAGUUCCUGGUUUAUUUCUACAGAGCUUUUGCUCCCAUCCAGGCUGAGGUGGCAGAAGCACACGGGAAGAGGAUUCUCCCUGUCUUUUACAAACCCUUUCCUUAGCUGUAUCUGAUGACAGUAUAAGAUCUUAAUAAAGUUUUAUGUUCUUUUUGAA
RNA transcript from Peromyscus leucopus (white-footed mouse), 3545 nucleotides. It is a transcript of the gene named regulation of nuclear pre-mRNA domain containing 1A, with no coding region annotated. The record is from RefSeq and is a predicted model, not a curated record. Lineage: Eukaryota; Metazoa; Chordata; Mammalia; Rodentia; Cricetidae. The transcript is spliced from 8 exons.